GCCAUCACCGAUCAUGGCCACCAAAACAGAUGAAAGUGUAACUGGACAAAAAUACACACGACAGCGCAGUAACAGUGAUCCUCAACCAAACCUGGACGAACAAAAAGACACACUGUCUGUCAAGGGUAAUAAUAAACAAAUUUCUAUCAAAUCGGCCAUUAAACAAAGAGAAAAUGUCCCCACCCCGGUCGAUAUAAACUUUAAAAUUCCAGUUCAAAAUUUAGUCACUUCCUUUGUCAAUUUUCACAAUAAUUGAAUUGGUUGAACUUAUUAAAUCAUGUAUUGAAAAUUUUUAUGUCAAAGUUACUUCUUGACAGAAUUAUGAUUAAGGAUGUCCUGUUUUCUAUUCCAUCUUUCAUUCAAAUAAUAUGAGACUCCUAAUUUUAGGUACCUGUCACUUUGUUAGUUUCAACAGACAACAGUGAAACACUGCGUGUAUCAUUUGUCUAAUGACAAUGGCUAUUGGUAACAUAUAAAGAAAUAUGUUGCUCCUGUAUUUUGUUAUCGGAAAUUAGUCUUUACUGACAAUUUUUAAUAGACAUUUUGAAAGUUUUUUUUUUAAAUGCCUUUCAAAUUGCAUUGCUUGUAUUCUACAUGUUCUACUGUUUAUUUAGUCUAAUCAGAGACUUUACUUCAAAGUGUGUCAACCCUUAAUUACUUGUGUCACAAAUGGGGACCUCUUACAACAUCUGUGAACAACUUGCGUUUUACCUAUCUAAAGUUUUUUUUAAAGAAUUAGUUAAAUUACCACAGUUGACCGUAGGUCAGUGGCGGAUCCAGGGGGGGGUUCCGGGGGUGCGCACCCCCCUUUAUUUUUGCCGAUCAAUGCAUUUGUAUCGGGACAUAUAUUUUGCACCCCCCCUGCACCCCCCCUUUGCCCUGGGUUAGCACCCCCCCUUUCGAAAAUUCCUGCAUCCGCCCCUACCGUAGGUCAAUCAUUUUGAACUGUGACAUACAUGAACAAUAAGGUUGUGGAAUUCCCUACCAUACCAAGUAGCCUGUUGCCCAGACUUAGAAGCUUUUAAGUCUGGUGCGAAACCACAUAUGUAUUGCUAAACCAAACCUAGUCCAAAUAAUUAUGACGUCUUGAAAGGCUAUUAUAAUUUUUUCUUUGACGCCUUACAUCGACGUCAUAAUGCUGAAGCCGCCAUUUUCGUGGAUUUGAGAGCAUAUUUUGCUCUCAACUUUGAGACCCAAUUUAGCCAUCAAAUUUUCAAUGAAGGCUAAAACAAAAUGCAUAUAUUAAAAUUCUUACCUUUUAUGUGUUUGUUUGUGCAAAAUAUUUCCAAUUAAUCCCUACAGAAAUAAUAAUAUAAGUGACAAUUCAUCCGAGGCGGGAAUGUCGACUGCAUUUUUAAAACGUUUGUCUGAUUUCUUUUUAGGAGAUUAUAAAAUAAUUUUUACACCAAACUCGGUAAAACCCGAAUUUCCGGAACCAUUGUUUUACAUUAUCCGGAAAUUCAGGUUGGUCAAAAUGUACCGAGUUUGGUUCAAAAAUAUAUUUUAUACACCUUUAAUGAAGCAUCUUGAGGAGAAAUCAGCUAAACGUUUUUAUAAAGCAGUAAAUUCCCUAUCAAAGUCCAACUGAAUAUAUGAGUUUGGCGUUAUGACGUUGAUGUAAGGCGUCAAAGAAAAAAAUUAUAAUAGCCUUUCAAGACGUCAUAAUUAUUUGGACUAAACCAAACCAUGUUUUUAUCUAUAUACAAAAAAAAAAAAAAAAAUUAAAAAAAUGUUUUUUGCAAUUAUUGUAAAUAUGUUAGUUUAAUUUGUUUCCCUAGUAUGUGCCUUCUUGUAAUCUUCAACAUAUUGAAGUUAAGAAGUAUUAUGUAGAUGUAGAUGAAAAAAAAAAUGAUUUUGUGGUCAUGUCACAAUAACCAUAACCUAUGACAAGUUUACCCAGAAUUACUCGGGUCUCCAGGUCAUUCAUCAAAUUGAGAUUUGAAUCUUAGUGACAUCGGUCGUUAGGACAUGUAGGAUGUUCCAAUUUUAGUUGUCUUGGUAGGAAGCUGAAUUAUAAAAGUGUUUGUCUGAGCUGGAAUUCUGAGAUAGUUUUCACUAUGCAUGUACUUUGUGGAUGCUAAAGAUUUUCUGUUUAUAUUUCAGCUAGACGGUGUACGUAUGUCUUUAAAAAAUGAAAUUGGCCCAUUUUGCCUCCCCUAUCUUUCAGUGAUGACACUUGUACUACCAUGACUACCAUGAAUGACAUUUACAUGUUAAUUUUCACAGCCAUUAUUUCUUCAGAAGGCAUGUUGCCUGUCGUUGUGAAUGUUGUUCUUUUCAAAAUACAGCAUCAAAUUUGAGCAAAUGAUACAUGUAUAUGGACCAUAAUUUGCUAUUGGGCUCCGUUUCCUAUAACUAUAGAAAAGUGAUAAAAUGUGAAUUACUGUAAGAAAAGUUGUAACUACAUCUAAAGAUGCCAUUAUUUUUAUCAACAUACAAGUGUAUGCUACUCUUCCCUAGAAAAAAAAAUUAAAUAUACGAAUUUCAAAGAUUCUACAACCGUAUUUUUGUGUCGUUUCUCGCGUUACUUUUUGCUUCCGAAGAGCAUAACGCUGACUGAUUUAUAGAUAAUCGUCACCGGCAAAUUCGUAACUUUUGCUUUCAAAUAACAAAGAACAUCGACCAAUAAGAAUAGUGAGAAGAAAAUGCCGAGAACUAUAAGUAUUUAUGUAGCAGAUGUAAGAACAGUGGCGUGAUUUUUGUGUCCGAUUUCGUAACGCAAAUUUUAGAUGAUGUAAUCUGCUUUGUUGUAAUAGAAUUCUUAAAAACAAUAUGCAAAUAUGAACUCUCGUGAGAUGUUCAAACAGGUAAAUCAGAGAUGAUUUACAUUCUUGUUUUGAUCUUCGUAAUAAUUAAGUAAGAAAAUGACGUUAUCGUUAUGCGUUACAUUUCACACGAAACAGAAGUCCAGUUAUUUAUUAAAAUUGUUUUUGUCCUUAAGUUCUAAUCAUUUCCGGUCAUACGUGAAACAUGUGACUAACAUGUGAUAACGCCAUUACGGCCGGAUGUACGAAAUACUAGGUCUAAACAUUGUUUUUGUUUCCAACGGGAUGUUAGCAAACAUAAUCUGUAGACUUGUUUCGUCUUGUUUAAAAGAGGAAAAUACAAUUGUCAAAGAGAUUGCGCCGGUGGUCUGUUAUUUUUCCUAUGUGCAUAAUGUUACAUACGAUCCUGUGUGAAAAUAAAUGCCCAAUGACUUGACAAAAUCGAUUUCAUAUUUGACAGACGUUAGAACACACUUCGUUUCCCGAUAAUGACGUGAAGAGUCCUUGGAAAAAUCAAUCGAAAUUACGUCUCUUAUCAUUGUACCAAUGCUCGUUGGAUUGAUUUAACUUCAGCAGUAAAUAUUACUGGAUAUUUUAGGUGAAUAAAUAUAAUUUAAUAAAAAAUACAUGUUAAUAUACCGUUACACUUGGAAUGUACAAAGUUGGCAUCUUUGUCACAGUUUUUAAUUAAUAUUUUUUAUUCAUGUUCUGCAAACACUUAUCAGAAACGCAAUAAACUUGUCAAAGGAGAAGUAAACUUUUACCAUGCAUGACUUGAAAGGAAGUACUUUAUUGAUUUUUAGCCCACUAAAGUAGGUUAAAAUGUGGAAACCAUGUAGAUGGUGUACAGGUCACAAGUAUCACAUUGUGCCUAUUUUUAAAGAUUUUAAUUCAAGUUAAAAGUUUUUUUCUUUACUGGAUUUAAAGAAUGUUACAUUGCCAAUGAUUUGGAAUAAAUUGUAUAUAACUGGAAUAUCAAAACCAAAUAUAAAUACAUUUUUUUGGCUUAAACAUCAAGAUACAACGAUUAUGGUAUCCUGUAUCAAUGAAGAAAAUAUGGAAAAUUCUGAAUAAAUUGUACUAAUUGUUUUCAAAACAAGCACAUAUUUAGGAGUUUUAUAAUACUGUUACAUUUAAGAUGGAUUUUAAGAAAAAGUACUCUGUUCAGAUUAUUUUAAGCAGAUUUUGCUAUAAAAUAAAACUAAAAAAAUGCUUUCGGUUUCUUAUGGUUUCCUGUCAGGUUUAAAAAAACUUUAAUAUAACAUUGAAAAUAGAUUUUAAAUAUUAACAUGAAGCAAGUAACACUAGUAAUGGUGUUUAUUUAUGCCUUUUGAAUUAUAUUGUGCAAAAUAAAGAAAAUAAAGAUUGGUUUCCUGUUUGGUUUCAUGUCACGUAAACGGUGAAUCAAAAUGUAUUAAUUUUUUCUCAAAAAACUCAAUUGUUCCAUUCAUACUAUUCUAACACCAACACAACCCACAAAAUAAAAGUUAAAAUUUUAGAACUUAUAAAAAAGGAUACAAAAAGAAACCAAAGGCCGAAUACCAAAUUAUGGUCCAUAUUGCAAUAGUUUUCAUAAAAAUACAAUUACAUAGAAGUGAGACUGGUAUAUAAAUUAUAAUUUGGAUUGAUUUAUAAACUUGUGUAGUAGUUGUUCUUAGUAAGUAAAAUGUCCAAGUAUCAAUUGACAUAAAAGUUAUAAAUGCAUGAACUCUGAACUUUUGUAAUGUUACUCUGCAUUAGAGUAGAAACUUGUAAAUUUAUUUCCCUCACUUUCAAAUUCAAAUAAUUGACUUACAAAGGAAUUUUAUAAAGACAUUCAAGCAUUUCAAGGCAACAAAAAUUUCAUAAAACCAAAGAAAGAUUCUCUGCUUGUAUUUGAAGCAAGAGAACCUUGAGAGAAGCAUUUGAGUUUUAUGAUAACUGUAUUGCACUUGAGACAAUCAAUGAAGUCAAGAUGCAAAUGCAUCUAUACUAGAAGAUGACAGAGGAUUUCAGAGUGUUGAGAACAAUUUACAUGGGGAUUAUAUGUUUUUGUUAUAAAAUAAUUAUGUGUUUAUUUUUGUUUUCUUCUCAUACAUGUCAUAGAUCUUUGUUGAAAUGUGUCAUUUGCAUGUUACUGAACUGUCUAUUAAGAAGUAUUAACACAUAUCAAGCUUAAUAAGUUAAAUGUGACUAAUAUUUUUAAAAUCAAUCUACCACUGACAUGACAUAUUAAAUUUUUAUCUCACCCUGCUUUUUUUUAUACUACCGCAACAAUUAAAAAAAAUUUUGGUCGUAUAUUGGUAUCACAUUGUCCUCAUCGUCCGAAGACAUUUAGUUUUUGCAUUCUAACUUUAGUAAAAAUAAAUAGAAAUCUAUGAAAUUAAAACACAAGGUUUAUGACCGUAAAAGGAAGGUUAGGAUUGAUUUUGGGUGUUUUGUCCCAACAGUUUAGGAAUUAGGGGCAAAAAAGGCCCACAUAAGCAUUUUCUUGGUUUUUCGCACCAUACUUUAGUACAUGUAUAUGUAAAUAGAAAUAUGAAAUUUGACACAAGGUUUAUGACCAUAAAAGAAGGUUGGGAUUGAUUUGAGUUUUGGUCACAGUUAGGAUUAGGCCCAAAGGGUCAAAUUAACUUUGUUUGAUUUCAUUCAAAAAUUGAUAAUUGGGGUUCUUUGAUAGCUGAAUCUAACGUGUAUGUAAAUUCUUAAUUUUUGGUCCCGUUUUCAAAUUGGUCUACAUUUAUAAGGUCCAAAGGGUCCAAAAUUAAACUAAGUUUGAUUUCAACAAAAAUUGAAUUCUUGGCGUUCUUUGAUAUGCUGAAUCUAAACAUGUACUUAGAUUUUUGAUUAUGGCCAGUUUUCAAGUUGUCCAAAUCAGAUCAAAUUAUUAUAUUAGGUAUUGUGCAAUAGCAAAAUUUUUUCAAUUGCACAGUAUUCAGCAAUAGCAAGAAAUCUUCAAUUGCACAGUAUUGUGCAAUAGCAAGUUUUUUCAAUUGCACAUUAUUGUGCAAUAGCAAGAAAUAUUCAAUUGGAGUUGUCUUUCUUUGUCCAAUAGUAGUUGAAUCAAUAAUCUUUUUAUACAAUAUACAAUGUAUAUUCACUUUUACUACAAUGAUAAAUUAAAACAAUCUACCAUCAGUGAUAACAAGCACUUUUUUUACAUUUUAAUAUUUUAUGAUUAUUUAAAUGGAGUUAUUGUUGCAAACUCCAUUAGAAAUUUGAAUUGAGAUCAGUUUGGAAUAAGGGAAGGGGAUGUGAAAAAAAAUUUGAGGGGGUCAAUUUUUCUCAUUUCAGAUUCAUAAUAAAAAGAAAAUUUCUUCAAACUUUUUUUGAGAGAUUAAUUCAACAGCAUAUGAAUGCUCAAAGGCAAAAAACAAAUUUAAGUCAUUAAACACUUCAUUCUGUGUCAGAAACCUAUCUGUGUCAACUAUUUAAUCACAAUCCAAAUCAGAGCUGUAUCCGGAAUGUGUGUGCAUACUAGCCCAACGUUCAGGGUCGACCUCUGCGGUCGUAUAAAGCUGCACCCUGUGGAGCAUCUGGUUAACUUUGUAACUGUUGUUAAUAGGCAGAUAUCACUGUUUAUCAACAGCAUUUUUUCUGGUGGGUUUAAACAUAAUCAUUGAAUGAAGUCAUAUAUAUAUAGCAAAUUUAUGUAUUGGAAAGCUGAGCUAUUGAUUAUAAGGCCUAGGUCUACUCAUAUAAAUAAAUCUGAGUAAAUGUAUAAUACAUUCAUCCUUGUGUUUCAGUCCCUGAAUAGGUUUACUAUUGUGUCAUUACAUACAUGACAUUAGGGUCCAGGCAAACAAAACUUCCAGACUAGUCAGACUCUACAGGCUCACUUGAUUUCAAAACUGAGCAAAAUGUAGACUAAUACUUUGAUAAAUUCUGUCUAACCAGAUUAGUUAUAAACUUGACAGUCACAUAUUUUUGUACAGAUUGAAAUAUAUUUAGUUACAGAAAAGUUUUAAUCAAUAUCUGCAAUUAGCUAAUCAACUAUUUCUUUCAAGGUUAACCAUCUGUAAUUUAUAAGAAUUUAAAAAUUUAAAAUGAAUUAUAGUGUUUCAAACAUGUAAAUGUAAAAAAAAAUUAUUAAAAAUUUGGCAAUUUUUAUUUUCUGCAAAGCACUCAACAUGAAGAUAUAUAAGAUCAAUAGACAUGCGCGCCUAUAGGUACAAUUCUUUUGUUCUAGUUUUUUUUUAUAAAGUCUAAAAGAAGGUUGAUUUGCAGAGCCUCAACACAAACACCUUAGCUUUUGCUGCUUAUGGCUUUCACAGUAAUAAUAUCUUAAAAUUAAACUAUGACUGGUACUGUAUUAAUCUCACACAAAACUUUGCAGGAAUUAUGUAUUUGUUAAGCAUACUAUUUAGCACUAAUUUGCAAAUGUAUUGCAGAGGAGUUUAAAGUGCUGUCAGAUUUAGAGCUACAUUUGUGUAAAUUAUAAACUCAAACUAAAAUUUAAAAGUUUUGAAAAUUUGAAGUUAGUGCACUUUAAUUUUCUUACGACAUGCAUGAUUAUUUAUGUCACAAAAUUGGAUUGGACAAAAUUACGGAAUUGAAUAAAAAAAAUUACAUUUACAUGUACAUGUAUGCUACAAUAAAAGAAAAACAUCAUGGACAUUAAAUCAUACUUUGAAAUAAAAUUAUCCAAAUAAAUAAAAUUAAUGGAGGUUAAGAAGGUGUCAUGAUCACCACUGUCACAUUGUUUGGAUUUUGUAGGCUUUGUCUGUCCUGAAUAUAUAGCAGAAGCAGGUAAAAAACAUUGACAGGUUCAUUAGAUCUAAGCUAAUGGUGGUCAAUUAGACUAUUAUUAACUCAAGUGCUACAAAUAUUUUAUGGAAUUUGUGUACAUUUUACUUCCAAAUGCAGUUUAUAAUUUAAAAGUGGAAUUGAGAACAAGAGAAAAUAUUGCAAAACUUUUGUAAGAAUGACGACUGAGAGUAAUACUGUAAAUUCAGAAAUUAUUGCAUGGUUUUUAUUUAUGCAGCUUUUCCCUAAAUAUCAAUGAUUAAUCUCACAAUUUUGUUCAUUCUUCAAAAAUUGCAAUAUUAAAAUAAAAUGCAUACAAUGAUUUCUGAAUUUACAGUAUUAAUAGAUUUACAACUGAACCAUGCACAGAGAAGAAGUUUUACUAGACUAGAUGUACAGAACAUGCUCCUUUAGGGGCUGAUUAAAGGGGGCCAGGGUUCCCAGGCCCCCUUUUUGUAGGAAGAAUUUGGUUGAUUAUAUAUAGGGAAUUGCGUAAGCAUGACUGGGCCCCUUCUUUUAAAAAAAAAUCUGGAUCCCCCCACUGUCCUUGAAACUCAGCCUCAUGUGUUUUUCUAUAUGGGCAAAUAUGGUGAAACUUAUAAAAUUUAACAUUUAUUUGUCUGUAACAUUCAUGUACUUGUAUCUGAUUCCUGAUGAUUUUUUGAUAAAAUCCUAUCCUCUUACAGUUAGUGACAGUUNNNNNNNNNNNNNNNNNNNNNNNNNNNNNNNNNNNNNNNNNNNNNNNNNNNNNNNNNNNNNNNNNNNNNNNNNNNNNNNNNNNNNNNNNNNNNNNNNNNNNNNNNNNNNNNNNNNNNNNNNNNNNNNNNNNNNNNNNNNNNNNNNNNNNNNNNNNNNNNNNNNNNNNNNNNNNNNNNNNNNNNNNNNNNNNNNNNNNNNNNNNNNNNNNNNNNNNNNNNNNNNNNNNNNNNNNNNNNNNNNNNNNNNNNNNNNNNNNNNNNNNNNNNNNNNNNNNNNNNNNNNNNNNNNNNNNNNNNNNNNNNNNNNNNNNNNNNNNNNNNNNNNNNNNNNNNNNNNNNNNNNNNNNNNNNNNNNNNNNNNNNNNNNNNNNNNNNNNNNNNNNNNNNNNNNNNNNNNNNNNNNNNNNNNNNNNNNNNNNNNNNNNNNNNNNNNNNNNNNNNNNNNNNNNNNNNNNNNNNNNNNNNNNNNNNNNNNNNNNNNNNNNNNNNNNNNNNNNNNNNNNNNNNNNNNNNNNNNNNNNNNNNNNNNNNNNNNNNNNNNNNNNNNNNNNNNNNNNNNNNNNNNNNNNNNNNNNNNNNNNNNNNNNNNNNNNNNNNNNNNNNNNNNNNNNNNNNNNNNNNNNNNNNNNNNNNNNNNNNNNNNNNNNNNNNNNNNNNNNNNNNNNNNNNNNNNNNNNNNNNNNNNNNNNNNNNNNNNNNNNNNNNNNNNNNNNNNNNNNNNNNNNNNNNNNNNNNNNNNNNNNNNNNNNNNNNNNNNNNNNNNNNNNNNNNNNNNNNNNNNNNNNNNNNNNNNNNNNNNNNNNNNNNNNNNNNNNNNNNNNNNNNNNNNNNNNNNNNNNNNNNNNNNNNNNNNNNNNNNNNNNNNNNNNNNNNNNNNNNNNNNNNNNNNNNNNNNNNNNNNNNNNNNNNNNNNNNNNNNNNNNNNNNNNNNNNNNNNNNNNNNNNNNNNNNNNNNNNNNNNNNNNNNNNNNNNNNNNNNNNNNNNNNNNNNNNNNNNNNNUAAUAACCAGGCUAUCUGGACCAUGUUUGUUUGUCUUUUUUGUAUGAGGAGUAGGUUGUUAGUUUGAACCGGUCUAUUUUAAUUUCAUAUACAUUUUGUACUUGUUAUCUAUUUAUGUAUUAUUGCCUAAACAUUUUUAAACUGCAACAUCAAAAUUUAGCCUGAGGGAAUUUACAAUGUACUAUACUCUGACCAUGAUCAAUUAUGUAAACAUGAAACAUUUUUCCACUGUUUUCCUUUUAUGUCAGAGGAGAAAGAUGAGUAAGGGAUUCUUGAUUCCCCUACACUCCCCAUUCCACCCCUCUACUUCAAACACAAUUUGAGCAUAUCCUUGCUUUUUAUUUCUCCUCUUCUCUGGGUUCCCUCCCCUUCCCUGCUUACUGCCCCUUAUUCCUAGCUUCCUUUAUUCCUGUCAAACCUCCAUUGGUGGUAUACAUAACUUCUUUUAGCAUCCAUCAUGUCCAUAAGAUUUAUAUUACCAUAUGCAGAUUUAGAUUUUCAUUCUGUAGGAAAAUCUUGCUAAAGUAUCAAUAUACAGCCACAUCAAUGGAAUAGGUUCUUAAAAAUCUGAUGCUAUCACCUAUUCCAUGGAUGCUAUGUAUAGGUGCCCCAUGCUCUUUUGUACACUAAAGAACCAUUAUAAUAACAACCCUCUAAAAGUGUGUGAGGUAGCCUAUUGCUAGCAAAAUUUUGCCCCUAUCCCAACAUAUCCUAAAUUCCUAUUAGCAAUUACUUUGUUCUAGUCGUCCCACCAUUGCAGUACAUACCUACUGUAUUAAGCUAAUUUAUGCAUGAUAUUAAGCAAGAUACAAUCAAUCAGCCAACCAAUCUGACCUUAAAGCCCAUGUUUUGGGUUCUGUGAUAUACAUGAUAUACAUGUAAAUGGAUAUGAAAAAUCUUUAUUUUUGCUUUUCAAGUUUGAUAGUAAAAUUGUAAGUCUAUUUACAUUCAUGACAUUGCAGAUCAAUAUAAAAGCAGAUCUUGCAGCAUCAAUUUUCAUCAUACAGAAAUAUCAUGCUGUUUAAAUUUAGCCAAUUUUCUGCUUAAAAGGUUAUAUAUAUAUUGUAGACUAUUGUUCAUGUAAUGUAACACUCUCAGUGAAGUUAGUUGGAAGGACUCCAAAGAAAACGAUACUUUAUAUGCAUAAUUGAAUACAUCCCUAAAAUAAAUAGGGAAGAAUACAAAAGGGAAAUUUAAGUACUUUUUAUAAUAUUCUUUGUCGAAAUCAAAUCAGUUAAUAUACUCUUUCAUGGGAAUUUUUUUGUGGAUGGUUAAGAUGUUUUGAUCACCAGUAAUAGUAAAACAAAACAAGAUCACUUAACUUUGAUUUAACUUUACAUGCAUGCUUUUUGAUACAUAUUAAAAUAAGGAGAUGGUAUGAUUGCCAAUGAUACAACUUUCCACCAAGAGUCCAAAUGAUGUGGAUGUAACCAACUAUAGGUCAUUAUAUUGUCCUCAACAAUGAACAAAGCACAUACAGGUACCAUAUAGUUAGCUAUAAAAUGUCCAGACACUGUCCUCAACAAUGAACAAAGCACAUACAGGUACAAUAGGUUAGCUAUAAAUUCCAGAACUGUCCUCAACAAUGACAAAGCCAUACGUACCAUAAUUAGCUUAAUGUCCAGCCCACGCCUCAACAAUGAAAAAGCACAUACAGUACUAUAGUUAGCAUAAAGUCAGACACUGUCCUCCAAUGAACAAAGACAUACAGUCCAUAUAGUUAGCUUAAAAUGUCAGGACACUGUCCUCAAAAUGAAAAAGCACAUACAGUACCAUAUAGUUAGCUAUAAAAUGUCCAGACACUGUCCUAACAAUGAACAAAAGCACAUACAGGUUACCAUAUAGUUAGCAUAAAAUGUCAGACACUGUCCUCAACAAUGAACAAAGCACAUACAGGUACCAUAUAGAUAGCUAUAAAAUGUCCAGACACUGUCCUCAACAAUGAACAAAGCACAUACAGGUACCAUAUAGUUAGCUAUAAAAUGUCCAGACACUGUCCUCAACAAUAGAACAAAGCACAUACAGGUACCAUAUAGUACUAAAAAUGCUCCAGACACUGUCCUCAACAAUAAACAAGCACAUACAGGUACCAUAUAGUUAGCUAUAAAAUGUCCAGACACGUCCUCAACAAUGACAAAGCACAUACAGUACCAUAAUUAGUAUAAAAUGUCCAGACACUGUCCUCACAUGAACAAGCACAUCAGGUACCAUAUAGUUAGCUAUAAAAUUCAGCACUGGUCCUCAACAAUGAACAAACACAUACAGGUACCAUAUAGUUAGCUAUAAAAUGUCCAGACACUGUCCUCAACAAUGAACAAAGCACAUACAGGUACCAUAUAGAUAGCUAUAAAAUGUCCAGACACUGUCCUCAACAAUGAACAAAGCACAUACAGGUACCAUAUAGUUAGCUAUAAAAGUCAACACUGUCCUCAACAAUGAACAAGCACAUCAGGUAACAUAUAGUAGCUUAAAUGUCCAGACACUGUCCUCAACAAUGAACAAGCACAUACAGGUCCAUAUAGUAGCUAUAAAAUGUCGACACUGUCCUCGAACAAUGAACAAAAGCACAUACAGGUACCAUAUGUUAGCUAUAAAAUUCAGACACUGUCCUCACAUUGAACAAGCACAUACAGGACCAUAUGUUAGCUAAAAAGUCAGACACUGUCUCACACAAGAAAGCAAUACAGUACCAUAUAGUAGCUAUAAAGUCAGACAUUGUCCUCAACAAUGAACAAAGCACAUACAGGCACCAUAUAGAUAGCUAUAAAUGUCCAACACUGUCCUCAACAAAUGAAACAAAGCACAUACAGUGUACCAUAUAGUUAGCUAUAAAAUGUCAGACACUGUCUCAACAAUGAACAAAGCACAUAACUUCCAUAUAGUUAGCUAUAAUGUCGACACGUCCCAAAUGAACAAAGCACAUACAGUACCAUAUAAGAUAGCUAUAAUGUCCAGACACUGUCCUCAACAAUGAACAAAGCACAUACAGGUACCAUAUAGUUAGCUAUAAAAUGUCCAGACACUGUCCUCAACAAUGAACAAAGCACAUACAGGUACCAUAUAGUUAGCUAUAAAAUGUCCAGACACUGUCCUCAACAAUGAACAAAGCACAUAAGGUACAAUAUAGUUAGCUAUAAAAAUGUCCAGACCACUGUCUCAACCAACUGCAAUGAACAAAGCACAUACAGUACCAAUAGUAGUAGCUAUACAAUGUCCAGAUCACUGUCCUCAACAAUGAACACAGCACAUACAGGUACAUACUAGAUAGUUAAUAAAAAUGUCCAGACACUGUCGCUCAACAAGAACAAAGCACAUACAGGACCAUAUAGUUAGCUAUUAAUGCCAACCUUCCUCACAAUCCAAGCCCAUCAGGUAAUAUAGAUAGCUUAUAAAACUGUCCAGAACACUGUCCUCAACAUGAACAAAGUAAAAUGUCCAGACACUGUCCUCAACAAUGAACAAAGCACAUACAGGUACCAUAUAGAUAGCUAUAAAAUGUCCAGACAUGACAAAAUGUGAAACCAUUCAAACAAGAAAACUAACGGCCGAUAUAGUCAAAUUGAUUUCUCUGCUUACUCUUAUUAUUCAAACAGAUAAUUUCAUCAUAAGAACCUUAACAUUUCAACUUUGUAUAUGUAAUACAUGUACCAUUUCUUGGAAGAUCUGACUUUUCUCAUGUUUUUUUUUUUUUUAUUUGAUCUCAUAUUCAGAUAUAUUGUUUCUUUAAAGCCAUGUGUAUGCAUUUAUCAUCAUUCAAAAGGAAUUUCCUGUUAUGGAUAUUUUCACAACUUUCAACCCCUUGUCAAUUUCGUUUUGAAUGAAUUUUUUUUUGUUAAUUGAUUACUUUUGUCCUUUUUAAGAUCAUAUUUCAUUAAAUUAAAACAUAACCUCAUGUUUAUGAAGAUAUUAUUACAAUCACAGAGGGUUCAAGGUUGUUUUGGUAAAAAUGAUAAUCAUGAUAAAAGGUUUGAUUUAGUAUGGGUUAAGGUAAAACAAACAACAUGGGACCAACUAUAUAGGUAUAAGAAAAAAAGAAGAUGUGGUAUGAUUGCCAAUGAGACAACUGUCCACAAGAGACCAAAAUGACACAGACAUUAACAACUAUAGACUACCGUAUAGGGUUUAUUGAACAGAGUUCUUCAUAUUACAUAAAAGCAAUUUUAACCUUUUUUAAUUAUUUUCAGAAAUGUGUAGGAGUAUGUACUUCCCUGUAGAGUUUAUAUUUUGGCUGUGACAUUUCACUUCUCUAAACUUAGGAAUUUGAUUUAAGAUUAAUAGGAUUUUGAUGAUACAUGUACUUCACAAAAAAAUAGGCCUCUGACUCUGAUAUUUUUCACGAAUAUUGAAGGAUAGAAAUGGUGCAUGGGUAGUAGUUCUUACUGUAGAUUGCAUAUAAUAAAUAUUGCUUUCAAUAGAAAAAUGGUAUACCAAACUUAUCAAUGUCCUAAUGUCCAAGGUGACUGGUCAUCAACCCAUACCAUACAAUACCAUGCAGUUGUCCCUUGUAUUUCUGUUUCAAUUUACUAGACUCUGCUUAUUUAUUUCCACUUCAAAUUCAAUGAAGUAUAUUAUCAUAUGCUAAAAUCUUUUGACUAAGACAACAUCUUCAUGGUCAAAGUCAUACAUUGUCCUCAAUCUCAGAAACAGUGUAAAGACAAUAACAUUUUUCUGCUUUCUUAGACGUGUGGUAACCAAAAGGAAACUGUUCAGUUCCUAUCUAGAUCAGUAGUAUAAGUAGUGAGCCAUUGUAAACCCUAGUAUGUAUCUCGGCAGCCACAAGUUGUCAUAUAUUUAAAUUUGUUCUGGAAUGUAAUGUUGUGCGUGCCAGUUUGAUUUUGUUUAACAUUAUUGAGUUGUUUGUUUGGCUAGAGAACAUGUUAACAUUGUCUAAUGUUAGAACAUGUUCAUCCUGUGACUGGUAGUUAUGACAUGUUGUGUUGGUGUCUACAUAUGUAGGUGACAGGAUACAGUGUGAACAUUACCUGUUAGAUUAUCAUACACUCUGUCACUGAAUACUUGGCAGGAUCUCACAGCUUGAAUCUGUAACUUUGUAAGAUUCUUACAGUUGUAAGGUCACGAAGUAGCAGAUCUAGUUACAAUAUAACUCAUUCAAAACUUUAACUAUUCUCAGCAGUUUUAAACUUACAGGUUAAAUCUAUUAGUCUCACAAUAUGGUCCAAUGGAAUAAUGUGUGCAUCCAUCAGUUAGUGUAACAGAGUACUUGUUUUGUUAUUGGUAAUUACAUGAACAAUUUCAAAUUGAAAGGUCAAAUGUCAAAGUAUGAUAGGAUCAUCUUCUUUAAGUUUCUAGCAAUCCUUCAAUUAUCUGCACAUUGUUGGUAUGCAACAAUAGAUUUUCUAGGUAAAUUUAUGAAUUCUCUUAUGAAUGGUUUCAUGUUUUAUCAUGCCAGUGCCUUUGUAUAGCUUUUUAUGCAGUGUGGGUUUUGCUCAUUGUUGUAGGCUGUACUGUGAUCUGUAGUUUACAUGAUCCUUGUCCUUUGCUCAUUGUUGUAGGCUUACUGUGAUUUAGUUUCAUACCUUGUCCUUUCUCAUUGUUGUAGCUGUACUGUGAUUGUAGUUUUACAUGAUCCUUGUCCUUUGUCAUUGUUGUAGCUGUACUGUGAUCUGUAGUUACAUGAUCCUUGUCCUUUGCUCAUUGUUGUAGGCUGUACUGUGAUCUGUAGUUUACAUGAUCCUUGUCCUUUGCUCAUUGUUGUAGGCUGUACUGUGAUCUGUAGUUUACAUGAUCCUUGUCCUUUGCUCAUUGUUGUAGGCUGUACUGAUCUGUGUUUACAUGAUCCUUGUCCUUUGCUCAUUGUUGUAGGCUGUACUGUGAUCUGUUUUACAUGAUCUGUCCUUUGCUCAUGUUGAGCUGUACUGUAUCUGUAGUUUAAUGAUCUUGUACUUUGCUAUUGUGUAGGCUGUACUGUAUCUGUGUUUACAUGCUCUUGUCCUUGCUCAUUGUUGUAGGCUGUUACUGUGAUCUGUAGUACAUGAUCCUGUCCUUUUGCGUCCAUUUUUGUUGUAGGCGUACUGUAUCUGUAGUUUACAUGAUCCUUGUCCUUUGCUCAUUGUUGAAGGCUGUACUGUGAUCUGUUGUUUACAUCAUAUCUUGUCCUUGCUCAUUGUGUAGUGUAGUUUCUGAGUUUACAUGAUCUUGUCCUUUGCUCAUGAUGUAGCUGUACUGUGAUCUGUGUUUGUUGUUGUACUUGCUCAUGACCAUUGUUGUAGGCUGUACUGUGAUCUGUUGUUUACAUGAUCUUUGUCCUUUGCUCAUUGUUGUAGGCUGUACUGUGAUCUGUAGUUUACAUGAUCCUUGUCCUUUGGUCUCGUGUGAAUAGUUGUCUUAUGGCAAUCAUACCACAUCUUCUAAAUUUUUAAAUUAACCAGGUCAACUGGAAAUUAAAUUUCAAAGACUUAUCACUUUUCAAUUAUAGUGUUUUAAUUUCAUUCAUACUUUAUUUAUAUCCUGUAAUUAGUCUGUCAUGUAAUGGGACAGUGACUUAGUAGUAUCAAUCAUACAUGUGUCAGUUAAGGUGUUCAUUAGGUAUACUUCUGUCAUUUAUAACAGAUAUACCAAAGCAUGGGAACUGGGGAGUAGAUUGAUCUUUAAUUAAAGGUUACAAAACACAAAUCUCUCAUUUAAUACAAGUAGUCAAUAAGUUUGUGCUAUUUAAUUUGAAGUUACUCAGAGAUUAUUGUCUCCUGUGCAAUGUGUUGGGGGACAAAGAAAUACUGGGUGUCCAUCCAGUCUUGAUAGCACUUUUUUUUUUAAAGAGUUUUGCUCUUGGAAAUAUUGAUUAUUUGGAAAAUUGCAUUGUUAAUGCUCUCAUAUAUUCAAUUCAUGCCAGAAUUUUAAGAAACUAUUAUAUCAUUGUUUUACAUCAGCAAUGUCAUUGACAAUUCCAAAAUAAGUUCUGGUACAUCCAGUCUUGUUAGCACUUUUUUUAAAAGAGUUGUGCUCUUGGAAAUAUUGAUUAUUUGGAAAAUUGCAUUGUUAAUGCUCUCAUAUAUUCAAUUCAUGCCAGAAUUUUAAGAAACUUAUAUCAUUGUUUUACAUCAGCAAUGUCAUUGACACUUCCAAAUAAGGUUCUGAUCGAAAAGUAAUGCCCCUUUGAAAUAUUAGUUAUGAAGGAAAUCACAUUGCAUUUCUCUGAACUUCUGAAGCCUUCAUUUCUCUAAGAUAUCGAUAAAAGCGUUGGUUUUAUUUUAGUUAUUGCCCUUGUACCUUUGAUAGAUAAGGUAUGUGCAACAGGGGGAACUUUGGAACUCUGUUCUAUUAUUAUCUUUGUCUUUGACUUUUAAACAAGCAAGUACCGGUAAGAAGGCGUUUGUCAAUUAAAUUUAGCAGAAGACAUUCAAGCGUGAAGAUCUUGCAAACCAUUCGGCCCUCUUAAGAUUAUUAGAAAACACAUAAAGUGUACUGAGUAUAAAUAAUUCCUUAAUCUGCUGACUCUUAUCCUUGCCAGGGUAAAACUUGCAUCUUGGUGUUGAUAAAUCAAAAUGAUGGUUUAUACUAUAAAAUUUCAGGGGUCUUGAAUAAGUGUAAGGUCUCAAUUGGACAUGAAUAAUUCAUUAUUGUUUUAUGUAAAGUUUACAGGUAAAAUAGCCUAACCCUGAUGGGACAUACGAUUAGUCAGAUUUAUAGAUAAAUGACAAUUAAAUCGCUACAUGUAUAAGGGUUAAUUGACUGGAAAAUAAAUUAACAUUUAAUAUUCAAUCUACACAUUGACAUAUAUGUUCUAUGAAUAUAUAUUUUAGGGUUUGGUCUGUAAUUUUCUUCUCUGAUUCAUAAAGGUUAACAACUUUAUAUAUGUCUGUGUAAUUGUUCUAUUGUCAGUGAACAUUGUUUGUGUAUUAUUUUUUUUUACAUUUCUGUUGAUUUUAAAUGUGAAAUGUAUGCUUUGCUGGUUUUUUUUUUAACUCCUGAUUGGCAUUUUGACAUCGUUUAAGUGUAAAGUCUUGCUCAGAAAUCUUAAGAGCCGGUCAUGACAACUUAAGUUUUGAUGUUCAUGCUAAGAUGUUCAUUUAAAAUCUAAUUAUAUAUUGGAUUAGUUAAUGAUAGAUUCAGUGACCAGGACGUAGGUGAUAAAUCAAGGAAAUGAUUUAAAUGGUGUUAUUCAAACUCUAAUGAACGUUUUGCAAGGUCAGUUAUUAUCAAACUUUUGUUGUUACUUUGCAUUUGUCAACCUUUCGAUUGUACAUGAAAAUUUGAUGAGUUUUUGGUACACAACUUUAAAGAAAUAAUGGUAGUUGUAAUAUCUGAACCAUCUACUUUAUAUUGUUGACAUUUAUUUUAACUUUUUCUUCCUGUGCAGAAUACAUACAUGAUAAGAAAAAAUCCCUAUAAGGAAAUUGUCUUUUUGUUAAAGAAAUGAUUAUCUUGUCUUCAAUACUGUAGAUUCAUUAAUAUUAAAUAUUUGUGGAUAUUUUAUUUCACGGUUUCACCAAUCUCUGUAAACAAAGCCUAUUGAGUAAAUGUAUUCGCUGAACAUUUGAAUUCGUGGUUCACCUGUACCCACGAAAGCCACAAAAAUUGGUAUCCAACGAAUAACAAUGAAUCCACAGUAUCUCAUUUUCUGAUUGUCAAGAUGAGUUUAUAACCAUAUAGCUCAAGGAAUUUUAAGGUGGUAAUUUCUGAUGUUAAUGAUGUUGAACAACUUUGACCCGCUUUUGUUUUUGUGAAAAGUUGAAGUUUGUAGAGAUUCAAUUUAAGCUGCAAUUUUGGUAAAACAUUUGAGUGAUUGGUCUUAUGAAAGGCUUAGUGUUCAGGGUAAGCACAGUAAUAACUUGGAAAGUUUGUCUGUACAAGGAGAUUUAUUACAAGUUGUUUAUUACAUAUACCUAUCUUAUCUUUGUUUAAUGUUAAAAGUUAGUACACAAUAUUGACCUGUGAGAUUAUUGUGUUAUUAAGGUCUUUCCUCUCCGCGAGGAAAGACCUUAUUGUUUUUCUCCUGUUUUUUUUUUUUUUUUUUUUUUUUUUUUUUUUUUCAUCCAGCAUUUCUUUGACAUGGCCUCCCCUCGUUUCUAUUGAAGUUAUCAACACCAAAUAUGGACCAUCGGUGGAACUCAUCAUGAAGUAUUACCAGAUGAGGCUGUGUAGGAUUUCAUCAUCCCCUUUAGAAGUUAUCUCCCUUUUAUUGUUUUUUUUCGACAUGGCCCCCUUUCGUUGUUUUUAAAGAUAUCAUGACCUUAUUAGGACAACAGUUAGAUCUCAUCAUGAUGUGUUACCAUAUGAGGCUGCUAAGGAUUUCAUUAGUCCCUAUGAGAGUUACGUCCCCUUGAAGCAAUUUCUUUCUUUUACAUUUUUCUCAAAAAGUAUUCAAGAUAGAAUUGAUUUGAAAACGGCAACAUGUACAAGACCAGAUGGCAAUGUUAAUUAACAUAUACACUCAUUUUAUUGUUAACCCUUAUAAGGAUUAUUUCUGAAAAAUAUAAAAUUUAAAAAGUUGUACCGAAACGAAGUGUGAAUAUUGGGACCUACACCAAUAUCUUAAGUUCAUCAUGACUUUAAUUUGCACCAAGGUCAAAGGUCACCGAUGCAAAAAAAAUACGCUGCAAUUCAAGCUUUCAUAUAAGAACGUAAGAGUUGCUGCUUACUUACGCGUAUAAAAUGUUCCGCUGCGAGCUACAUUUAUACACGACCUCAAAGAUCCGACGUCUUUCAAAAGUUACGACGUAUUCUUAAAAGUAAGUAUGGUUUACGUUUAAGUAACAAUUCAACACUAUAAUGCAAGAUGAUCAGUAGUCAGCCUUCAAUUAGAGUCAAUGUCAGUCAUGAUGAAAUUUCACUUACCUGCAUUUUUACUAUGACCUUGACCUUGUAAUAUUGAAAGGUCAAGUUUCCUGAGUUGAAUGUGAUAGUCCCAGUCUACGACUUCCGGUUCUCAAGUUUUGUAUUGCAUCAUAUAUUUAUGAUUAAUUGUGACCUUGGUGAACUUUGAAAUUGCAAUUCUUUUUCUAAAUGUUGUCCUUCAACUGUAGAUCAUUUAUCAUUUAACAGAUUGAGAUAUCUAUUGUCGUUUAGAGAUAAUGCAGUUUGAAGUUUUCGAGCGGAGCAUGUAUUUCUGAAUGAUCAAGAGCUUACCACUAAAUGUUUAGAAAUGAAGAGAUUGACAUAGUUAUAUGUUUACCAAAUACCAAAAACAUUCCAUGGAAAAAAACACCAAAAAAUCAAUUUGAAAUUUUCAAGUUUUGCAUUGACUUAGUAAGUUUCAAACUUUCUAUAUUAUAUAAUUGAUAUUGCAUCAUUAUUGCACUUUGUCAAUGGGUCAUCUGAUAUAUCAAUUGAAGUCUUAAUAAACUCUACUUAAAAAUGAAAAUUUUAAAACCCCCUUUUCAUCCAAGGGACGGGGUCAUUUAGUGCAAACAUUCAAAUUUCUCCAUGUAAGGUUGUCGAUAUCAAAUGAAAGAACAUAAAGCGUACAUUUCAAAUUAAUUGACGUCUCCCAAAAAUGGGUUAGAUGGGUCAUUUAAGUGCAAAAAUAAAUGUUCUUUUAAGUAGGGUUGUUGUAUAUCAAAUGAAAGUCAUGAUGAUGUACAUUUGAAAUAUCAAAUUCCCGACCUCGAAAAUUUGUUGGUAGGGUUAUUAAGUGCAAAAAUCAAACUUUCAAGAACAUGGUUUCUCAUAUCAAACGAAAAGCUCAUCUACUCUGUUCCAUAUCAUAAUUCCGAUCUCAAAAUGUAGACGGAGGAGGUCAUUAAGUGUAAAAAGCAAAAGUUCAGAAGUGUGUUGUCGUAUAUCAAACGAAAGGUCGUACAAAGUACAAUACGAAAACAUCACUUUUACAGGAAAGACCUUUCAAUUGUUUUACAAACAAUUGAGAUACUAGUUUUUCUGCUCUGUUUUUCUGAUAUGAAUUUUAAGGUUUAUUACUGAUUAAGUUUACUAAUGGGGUUUUAGAGCAUUGUGUAAUUCAGCAAAAAUAACCCCCGUUUCUCAUUAAUGAUAAAAUGAUUUGUGCCUGAUGUGAUGUUGAUCUGAUAAACAAGCUAUAUAAUUUGGGUGGUAGAUUUGUAUUGAUCAGCUGUAUAUCUGAUCAGCUGUGUAUCACAGUACACCUUAAUUCUAGGUGGGAUUUAUAUAUCUGUUUCUGUGGAAAAUGUUCACAAUAGUAGUCAAUAACAGAUACUUAUUUCUCUAAUUAGAAAGCAAUUUUUGUAACUUUGUCGUGGAAAGAUCAUUUUUAUCCUUAUUGUUUUCGCUGAUUUAGUUGAGGAGUUAUAUAUGAGUUUGCACUUUUUUGGGAGUGUUAAUAAAAUUCUGUAAAAUCUAUGCCUAUUUAUGAAAAUUUACACUGGUACUUCAGUUAUAUGUAUACAGUCUCUACUGUUUGGUUUGGUUACGAAAACUACUUUAAAGCAUAAUUUUUUGUCAACGAUUAGAUGAAUUAGAAUUAUUUACUGUUAAACAGUACACACUAUCUCAGACAGAAGUCAGAUUUAGUACAUUACGUUCGUGCAAGUAGCCCCAAGUACAUCACGUUUUUCUCCAUUCAAUUUGUCAUCAUUUAAUAUUAAGACAUAUUCAGAAAUCUGCAAGCUAACAAGAAACCAAUGACAUCUAAUGUCUGUGUCAGGUUCCUUGAAAAGUCCUUAUUACAGAAAUUAAAAUACUAACAACUAACAGAAGUUGUUCAAAUUCUCAAAGCCCUUUGGUGGCUGAGUAGUCAAAUUAGUUCAACUACUUAACCACUAACUUGCCUGUCAAUACUGAGGAAGUCAGUUUGAACCCUGCAUGUGGCAGUUGCCUUUGACUCCAUCCUUAAUUGAGUGUGAUUGCCGUCAGGUAGGUAGUUCUCUUCAGGGCACCCUGGCUUCCUCCACCAAGAAACUGGUACUCAACACAAAAAAAUGUAUCGAAACUAAAUAUGAAAUGUUAAUCCAUAAUGUUACCAAUAAUUUUCAAACAAGAUUUUUCAUUCUUAGACUUAGCAUAUUAUAUAUGCAUUGGUUCCUUUGUUGUUUUUGUGUUUCCUCUUUGUCCAAGUCAGUUUGUUGGUAAUUACAUUUGUAAUCAAAGGUACAAUCAAAAUCAAAUGUUUACCUUUAUGUUAAUUAAUGUGCUUUAAUUAUAUAAUAUAUAUAUUUUACAGAAAAACAAAAAAAUGGUGAAGUUAAAACAGCCUCCUUAGGUCCAAAUACACCACAACCAGAAAAAAGAAGUAAAUUUUCUAGCUUUGGUAAAAUAUUUAAACCAUGGAAAUGGAAGCGAAAGAAGAAGAGUGAAAAGAUAGAAAAAACUGCUGUUGGUAAGAGAUAUAUUUACAGAUGUAUUAAGAAAAGUUUGAUCGAUUCACAAGUGCAAUUGCCAUUGUUGGUUAAUACAGUUAAGAUGUUGGUACUGACAACACUGCACUCAAUAAAGGUGUAUCUAUUGUACAAAACAGGGGGUAUUGGUGGCUGAGUGGUCCAAGUAGUUACUACUGUAAUCACUAGCCAGUCAACACUGAGGUCGUGAGUUAGCACCCCACUUGUGCGGGUGCACUUGACUCCAAUCUUAAUUGACAAUGGUUUUCUAUGGGCACUCCGGCUUCCUCCACCAAUAAAAACUGACCACAACGUAAUAGCCUAAUCUGGUGCUUAAAAGUGGUGUUAAAACACCAAAAAUCAAUCAAUCAAUUGUGCAAAACUUAUUCUGGACUCAAAAUAUUUACAGUUUUUGGACAUCAUUCAUUUCAUUUACUACAAACAAAAAGAUGAAUUUAGACUAUGAUCCCUUCACCAAUAUACUUACACCAUUGUCUGUGAUAUAGAGUAGUGAAAAUAUAUUACUGAUUGCUUCCUUACACCAUAUUUUUGCUGAUUUAGUAAAAAAAUAAAGAAGAAAACAAUACAUUGUCCCCAGUAAAUACUGUCCUGAAAUAAGACACCUUCAUAGCAUAUCUAAGACUUGACAAUAGUACUGGCUCUUCAAUAUAUUCAAAUAGUUGAAAACCAAAUCUAAGAACAUGUUUAAGUCUUGAAAACAUUUGCUAUGAUAUCAAAGUGUUAUAAUUGGAAAGAUUCAAAAAGCACCUGGUGCAUGUUUCUAAAAGAGCUGCAGUUCAAAUUGUGAAAUUUGGGUCCUUGCUCACUUUUCAAAUUGACCAUGUACAUAUAUAUUUUAAUUUUUGCAAAGCCCCUUAGUAUGCCCUUUAACAUUUUGUUUAACUAACUCCAACAGUUGUCUUUUGAUUUGAACUGAAAAUGUAAGCUUACAAUUGACUGUGAACCACAAAUCUCCUUAGGACUUAAACAAGUUUUUAUAUAAUUGCUUAAUACAAUGCAUUAAUAUACAUAAUCAAUAUUGGUGCUGAUAACUGUUUGUAUUUUAUCAAUUUUAUAUGCAAAAAUGUCAGGUGAGGCAUACAAGCUUUUGGAGCCUCCAGCUUCAUGGUAAACUAAAACUUCAAAUAAACUUGUGCAUUAGCUGAGUGAGAGGAGGAAAAGGGCAGACAUGUUUAUGAGUCAAAAUGAAAAUUAAUUUAUAGACUGUCUUUAUAAAUGAAACUGAACAAAUUUUCAUAUGUAAGAAAUGUCAUUUUCAUGUAUUUUAUUCAAUUUCAAAUAUGCUUGUCUACUGCAUAUAUUUCAUUUGACCUGAAUGUUUGAACAAAACAGGAAAUUAAUUGAUAUUAUAUCAUAUUACCAAUUUUAUAAUAGUUGUAGUAACAAGAGUAAUUUUGAAAUUGUUUUUUCUGUCUGUCAAUAUUAGAAUGAAAUACAAUAAAUUCUCCCCAUACGUUGUUAUCCAAUGCUUUCUGGAAUUGAUUUUAAGACUUUUGUUUCAUGAUGAGUGAUUCAACAGUGAGUUAUAACCUUAGUCACAUCAAUAUUUUCAUGCUGAAUGGAAUAAGUUGGCCCUAGGACAUCACUGCAUGUUAUAAUUGAUCUAUAAUGUCCAUUUAGAUGUCAUUGUCUUUAGCUGAAUGUGUAUUUCUUCUCUGUAUCAUAUUCUGUAUACUAAAUCACUGUGUCACCAGAUUAGUGGUAAGUGUGUCUCAAGAAAAAAUACAAAUUAAUCACCAUCUUUUAUUUCCUUUCUUAUAAUUAACUGUGUCAUAAAUUGUUCUGUUGAAAAUUGUGCUGACUCAGCAUAUAUUUUUCGAAGAAUACUCUAAAGGGCCCUCAAAAUAAGUCAUUACUGAAUUGUGUCAGUGUACAAAGUCUUGAACUUGUAAAUUAUCAUUAUACUUGACACAUGAUCCAUUAUUAUAUCUCAUUGACACUGUGUGCUUUUAGUCAGUGUGAGGUCAUAUAUAUUGUAGAGGCAGGCAAAUCAUUUCUAUAUUAGGCCUAGGUCAGGGUACAAAAUUUUUGCCAGGGUACGAAAUGGUUUUUGCCAAGAUAUGAAAUGGGGGAUAUGAAAAAGUUAGGGUACUAAAUGACUAUAAUUUGCAUGAAGAUAUCUUAAUGUCCAGUUAACCUUCCAAGAUUUAUAUUAAAGUUAGCACUGUUAAAUAAAUGUGUGCAACAAUUAAUAAAAAACAAAUAUGUUAGUUUUUGGUUUUCCCUUGUUAGUCUUUUGUAGAAAUCUUGAAAGCAGAAAUGUAAAAUUGGAAAGGAUAGGAAAUAUUUUUCCAAGUUCCUGAAUGGGUUUAUUGAUACAGUUGUGACAACCAAUAGGAUAGUUUACUAAAGUCAACAUUUACACUAACAAUUUUAUGAAUUAGUUAUAAAAAGUUCAAGUAUCAUCUGAUGGUUUGAUUUUUGGCCCUAUUUCAAAUACUGAGAUAAAAGAUGUUGGCUAAUUGACUAAUUGUACAUGAGUAUGAGGAAAAAGCAACCCAAUGACUGAAAUACUCAAAAGAGGGCAACAUAUAGUAUUCAACAAUAGACAGGUGUUAAUACACUAUGACAAGCUCUAAAUCAUCCUGAUCUACCAAAGUUGUCAAUUCAUUUAACAGAAAUAAACAAAGAUCAGCCAUUACCACCCAAUUCUUCAAAUAAUUAGAGAUAUUUAGAUAUGACAUACAACAGCAUCUGACAAGUAUACCUUUGCUUCUAUUUCUAGGAGCAGUCUAGAUCAUUGUUACUUAUUCUGGUAUUUUGUCAAACCAUCUGUUGCCAGUUUUUAUACGACCGCAAAAUUUGAAAUUUUUUCGUCGUAUAUUGCUAUCACGUCGUCGUCGUCCGAAUACUUUUAGUUUUCGCACUCUAACUUUAGUAAAAGUGAAUAGAAAUCUAUGAAAUUUUAACACAAGGUUUAUGACCACAAAAGGAAGGUUGGGAUUGAUUUUGGGUGUUUUAGUCCCAACAUUUUAGGAAUUAGGGGCCAAAAAGGCCCAAAUAAGCAUUUUCUUGGUUUUCGCACUAUAACUUUAGUUUAAGUAAAUAGAAAUCUAUGAAAUUUUGACAUAAGGUUUAUGACCACAAAAGAAAGGUUGGGAUUGAUUUUGGGAGUUUUGGUUCCAACAGUUUAGGAAUUAGGGGCCAAAAAGGGCCCAAAUAAGCAUUUUCUUGGUUUUCGCACUAUAACUUUAGUAUAAGUAAAUAGAAAUCUAUGAAAUUUAAACACAAGGUUUAUGACCAUAAAAGGAAGGUUGGUAUUGAUUUUGGAGUUUUGGUCCCAACAGUUAGGAAUAAAGGGCCCAAAGGGUCCAGAUUUAAACUUUGUUUGAUUUUAUCAAAAAUUGAAUAAUUGGGGUUCUUUGAUAUGCCGAAUCUAAUGUGUAUGUAGAUUCUAAUUUUGGUCCCGUUUUCAAAUUGGUCUACAUUUAAGGUCCAAAGGGUCCAAAAUUAAACUUAGUUUGAUUUUAAACAAAAAUUGAAUCCUUGGGGUUCUUUGAUAUGCUGAAUUUAAAAAUAUACUUAGAUUUUUAAUUAUUGGCCUAGUUUUCAAGUGGUCAAAUGGGGGUCCAAAAUUAAACUUUGUUUUUGAUUUCAUCACAAAUUGAAUAAAUGGGUUCUUGAUAUGCAAAAUCUAACUGUGCAUGUAAUUCUUAAUUUUUGGUCCAGUUUUCAAAUUGGUCUACAUUAAGGUCCAAGGGUCCAAAAUUAAACUUAAGUUUGAUUUAAACAAAAAUUAAAUUCUUGGGCUUAUUUGAUAUGCUUUAUCUAAAUAUGUACUUUGAUUUUUGAUUUAUGGGCCCAGUUUUCAAGUUGGUCCAAAUCAGGAUUCCAUAUCAAGUAUUGGCAAUAGCCAAGAAAUUUUCAAUUGCACAGUAUGGCACAAUAGCAAGAAAUAUCUAAUUGCACAAUAUUGUGCAAUAGCAAUUAAUUUUCAAUUGGAGUUAUCUUUCUUUGUAUAGAAUAGUAGUUGAUAAUAUAUGUUGGAAAUUUGCCAGACAUGACUAUGAUGUCAUUUUCUAUUUUUAUUUGCCAAUAACUUUAUUAAAUAACUUCAUUGGAAAUUUGCCAAUAUAAAAUGUUGCUGAUGAAGCUUUUUUUCCUUAUCUUAUCUAAAAUGUUUUUAGAUAAUGUAUGUUGGACAUUUGCCAGACAUGACUAUGAUGUCAUUUUCUAUUUUUAUUUGCCAAUAACUUUAUGUAAAUAACUUCAUUGGAAAUUUGCCAAUAUAAAAUGUUGCUGAUGAAGUUUUUUUUAUUGUUUAUACAAUAAACAAUGUAUAUUCACUUUUACUACCAACCAAUCUUUACCAUUCAGUGAUAACAAGCACUUUAUUUUACAUUUUAAUAUUUAUGAUGUAUUUAAAAGAGUAGUUAUUGUUGCAAACUCCAUUAGAAAUUUGAAUUGAUAUCAGUUUUGGAAAAAGGGAAACGGGAUGUGAAAAAAAAGGGGGGGGGUUAAAUUUUUCUCAUUUCAGAUUUCAUAAAUAAAAAGAAAAUUUCUUCAAACAUUUUUUUGAGAGGAUUAAUAUUCAACAGCAUAGUGAAUUGCUCAAAGGCAAAAAAAAACUUUUAAGUUCAUUAGACCACAUUCAUUCUGUGUCAGAAACCUAUGCUGUGUCAACUAUUUAAUUUUAGAUUUAAAAAGUUUGAAGAAGAAAUCUUUAAUUGAUUUGUAAAAUCUUGACAUUUGUUUUGUGUAAAAAAAACCAAUGUAAUGUCAAAAAUUUGAUCACAAUCCAAAUUCAGAGCUGUAUCACGCUUAAAUGUUUUGUCCAUACUUGCCCCAACUGUUCAGGGUUCGACCUCUGCGGUCGUAUAAAGCUGCGCCCUGCGGAGCACCUGGUUUGUAUUCAUUUUUCAUUUCUAUAAGCUACAGAAAGCCUACUUAGAUUAAGAUGCUACCAGUUAAAAAAAUAUUAAUAAGAGGUGGCAAGUAUUUACAAAAGGUUACAUGUUUCAAACAUUAUAUAGCAUGAUAUCAUACAGUAAAUAUUGAUACAGAUCAUUGAAGCAGGAUAAACAACUCUUAUUUUAUACCAGUUAUUAUUUAACCGUAUAGUACAUCAGAACAAUCUUUAACUCACUUAAUGGUGUAUAACAACUAAGAAUAAAGGCUAGCUUUCACAAAGAUUAUUGUCUUUUUGUAAGUUCUUUCUUUAUGAUUUUGAAAGGUGGAUACAACAAGAUUUUAUGUUUGGUCAUAGCCUUAUACUAGUUGUCUUCUUUUUACUAGAGAUAUCUAUUUAAUGGUUGUGUCUCUUUGUUUUCUUUAGUCUGCACUAUGAUUUUAUGUGGUUUUCAGCCAAGUCAGCCAUCUGUCAGUGGUUGUGCAGGGCUCAAGGUUGUUCAAUGACCUUGCCCUUCACUUGUUCUUUGAAUGUCUGAGAUGGUGCUGUUGCCAUUUCUCUGUGAGUCUGCUUGUCUCUGAAAUAUUGUUACUUUUUGUUCUUCAGAAUGUUUAUUUUAACAGUAUGGAAAAAAAGUAUUCGAACAGAACAAAUAUCAGUUAUGGAGUUUGAAUAAGAUAUCAAAUAAAUGAGGGCGGAUUUGUUUCAAUAAAGCAGAUUAUAAAAAAGUGUCUCAAGUUUGUAUAAUCAGUAGAAACUAUGGUAAUAUAUAUAUCAAACUAUAUUGUGACUUGGAUGGAGAGUUGUCUCAUUGGCACUGAGACCACAUCUUAUAUCUAUAUAGUUGUUCAAUGGUUAUACCCACAAAAUAGAAUAUUUAUACCUGCUGGAAGAGACUAUGAUGCUUUAUUAGCUGUAGACUAAUAGCUGGUCAGGUUUUAUAACAUACAAAAGAUAAUACAGGCCUCAGUCUUGGUUCAUUGGUGAAACUUUUUGUAGCUUUCAUUUAAAUUUGUGUUCAGGUCAGUGUAAGGGAAAGUGUGUAAUAAUUAUGCUAAAGCUUUCAGAUUGUAUGCACUCACAAGAAGAAAAUAUGGUUCUAAUAUAUAUAUAUAAUAUAUAUAUAUAUAUAUAUAUAUAUAUAUAUAUAUAUAUAUAUAUAUAUAUAUAUGCUGUACCUUAAGUUUUUUAUUCCAACUAAAACUUUUAUUUUAUAGGUUUUUGUUUUUCUCUUUUUUAGAGCUUGAAAGAAAGAUUUCAGUUCGAUCAACCAGAGAAGAAUUAAUCAGGAAGGGUGUAUUGAAAGAACCAUUGGACAUAAAACCAUCAACACAAGAUGGCCCCUCAAUUGAGCAGACGUCAGCAGAAAUCAAUAAUGACCAAAACAAAACCUCUACAGUUGUAGUAGAACAAAACCAUGUGGACCAAAAUAGUAAGUUUCUGACAUAUUUUAGAAAGUGACUGGUGACUUUUAACUGUUGGUCUAGUUGUUUGUAACCAGAAUAAUUCAGUCCCUCCUCGUAAUCAAUCUCUACUACUUGAGAGGGCCUGAACUCCUAACACACUAAGAUUCCUUAUCUAUUCUGUACUUCUGUUGGUGUCUUCUGGGAGAGGUCCCAGUAACUGUUUCUAGAUUAUUUAUGCUUCUAUGAUCUCAUAGCCUGCAUAGCUAGAGUGAGAAUUAAACUUGCUUAAAUCUCAAUGUUUUCUAUUAGCCAUUUGAUAUAAGGGUACUGUAAUUCUACAAUUAUCAUCCUGAUCCACAUAGAAAUUAAUUAAGGUUUGGGGUAACCCUCAUUAAAUGAUAUAUAAUUAAUUGUAUCUACAUGAUCUAGGGAGAAUACUGCAUACAUGUAAACAAUUUUACUCUGCAUGAGGCAUAUCAGUCAGAGAACUCAUACUUUGUAUUAAAGACUUGAAAGAAAGUUGAGAUAUUAUUUGGCAGUGUUACUUUAAAGUUGCAGUGACCUUAAUUUUCUUUUAUCAAGAUCACUAGCUAUGAAGUAAGCUAUGAUUACAGAUGACACCUACACAUAUAAUGAUUUGAUCAGAAAUUCUGGUUAUAAUAAACAUCAUUCUAUACCAAGUAAUGUCGUAUGAUGAUAAACUUUGUCAAGAGACUUUCUGUGUCAUAAAAUAUUUAAUUGAACAAAAACAUUUAUAUUGUACAUGUUUACACCUGAGUUGCUUUUGGUUUUACAAUUUCCUCACCAUGAAAUUUCAACCUAAAUUUUUGAAAUAGUUUGAAUAAGAAAAUGAUAAAUACAUAAAUGUAUUUAUUAUAAAUCUUUAUUGUUUAAAUUUAUUUCCUUGUUUUGAUUUUUGAGGAUUUACAAUAUCUGUACCAGGUAACAGGUAGAGGUUUUAAUACCUGGCCACAGAAAACAUAACUAUAGACACAUCAGUGUUUGAUUAAUGGAAGUGUACAGAUAACAACCCAAAAUUACCCAAGCAUAUUAUUUGGACAACAGAAAUUGACAUGGAUUUCUCUCCUGUAAUGAACAUGUGUAACGUUUUCAUGGGUAACAGAUAAGGAAUAUAUUAAGAUGUACAUUACAAUAGCAUCUUAGGUGUGACUUUUACAGUACAAUGGGGUCAGGCUGUUUUAUGUGUUGUCUGUGCAAAGGUAUGUUUAUAAACUAAUUACACACAUGUGUAGGGUAUGUUAUUAGAGCUAAUAGCUGUAAGGUGGUUCACUUUGUAAUAUUCUCAGUACAUUAACAUAAAAAUGACUCAUUUAAGAUUAGAAAUUAACAUGAUUAAAAUAAUUCAAUGUUUUCUGGUUUAGGAGUUUAGCUGACAUCAAAGGAAGCAUAUUUGUUUCUUGAUUAUAGAGUAGGUUUCAAUCAACAAAUCAUUUGCAUCUUUAAAGACAUAUCUAAGAGACAGUAACUCAGCAGCUCAUGGCACAUAGGGCUAUAGAAAAAACUAGAUGAACUUUUUCAAUGGAUAAGUGUCACUUUUGUGCGUCAGCAAUAUUAAAUAGUUUGAAUUUCUUUGAGACCAACAAACAUCUUACCAGUUCAUCAAUUUAAUAUAUUCCUCUGUUUAACGCUGAGUAUUAAGGCUGAACUACUUUCUGGGCUAUCGUAAUGAAAGUUAUGUAAAAUUAAACAUUCCUGAUCAUUAGUUACAUAGAUGUUAUACCAAUGUAAAUAGAUAAAUAAAUACCAAUAACAACAGGCUUAAUUGGGUCAGGCUCAUCAAAAUGCUUUGGCCUUACAUUUGACUUUCCCUUGUAAAAAACAAGUAAUCUAUUGGAAAAAAAACAGAAGGGGGGAUCUUUUAAAAGACAGUUCCCUCAAUAAAAGAAUAUUGAUACUGCAGAAAACAAAACACAGCUAUAUUAAGAGGUUGGAAGAAAGAACUGUUAUCUUAAUGUUCAGGUCCAAAAUUAAUAUAAGCUCUACAUAUCCUUAUAUAACUUAAAAGGUUGUAAACACAAUCACAAAUAACAAAUGUAUGGCACCAUCACCAACCAUAAAUUCUCAAUAGAUAGAAAUAAGGGGGGAGGGGUAUGGUACAUAAAUGAAUAGGUUGUUUUCUGCAGUCUUUUAAAACUCCAUAUAAAAUGGUAUUUGAAAGUAUUCUUGUUGUUCUGUCCCUUUAAUUGAAUACAGUCUAAAAAGAGAUUUGUGUUAUUAUACAAGUAAAGGAAUUCUACAUUAAUUUCUCUUGGUUAUUAGUAAUGAGUAUUGUUAUGGUAAAAAUCUAGAAAUGCGUAGGAUUACAAGAGAUUGCUUCCUGAUAUCACGAUCAAGUGUAUCCCACGUAUACUUCAACAUCUAAAUGGAUUGACUUGGAGAAGCAUCAUUUUUAUUACUUUGUUGGUUAUUGGACCAGCUCUUUAGUGUAUAAAUCUAUGCAUUGUUGAAAGACCAUAUCAGGCAAUAUGUUUACUUGUGUACCUGAAGUUUGCUAGUUCAAACAAAUUCAGAGCCAUCAGCAUUCUUCAAUUAACUUCAAAGAUCAUAAAUACACAAAAAUCUGUUUAUUUUAGGAUAGUUGCCACAGUAUUAUAGAUAUUUAAUAACAUUAAAAGAUCUGUUGCUAUCGAAAAAUUUAAAAAUAAUUGACCUUAAUUUAGAUGUCUACAAGAUGUAUAUAAACUUUUAAGAUAGCUUAUCAAUACUAUCAACCUUACCAACAAUAACUAUUCUGUUCAGGAACAAGGUUACUCUUUUUACAGAUGAAGCCCACAUCCAGAUUUAUUAAAAUUCAUUUCAUGAACAUGAAAAAUCCAAUAACAAUAAUUGGUUGCUUGUUAACCGGAUUUUCUAUGAAAAUAUCGGUUAUUGAUUUACGGAUGUACGGCGGGCGGGUGGUUGGUCUGGUGGGCAGCAGCCAAAUGUUGUCCGUGCAUUUACUCCUGAACCAUUCUACGAAAGCUAUUAAAAUUUAAAUAUGUUGUUACUGAUGACAAAAUGGAGGUCAUGUUCAAUAAUGACAAUUUUGACUUUAACUGUUCAAGAGUUGUGGUUCUUGAAAAAUGGCAUUUAAAGUCGUGUCCGUGCAUUUACUCAUGAACCCUUCAAUUUUGAAUUUUUUACGUUCAGUUGUUAUGGUUCUUGAAAGAAUGAAAAAUGGCCUUUUCAGUCGUGUCUUUGCAUUUACUCAUGCACCAUUCAACCAAAGCUUUUCAAAUAUGAAUAUGUUGUUACUGAUGACAAAAUAGAGGUCAAAAUUGAUAUUGACGAUUUUCGCUUUUACUGUUCAUAAGUUAUGGUUCUUAAAAUUUUGAAUAAAUGGUGUUUCCAGUAAUGUCCUUGCUGUUACUCAUGAACCAUUCAACGAAAGCUUUUCAAAUUUUAAUAUGUUGUUACUUUAACUGAUAACAAAAUGGAGGUUAAGUUUGAUAUUGAUGAUUUUCACUUUAACCAUUCAGGAGUGAUGGUUCUUGUGAUAUUGAAAAAUGCCAGGACACAAAUAAAUGUUAAUAAAUCCGGUUUGCUGUCGCUGUGACAGCCUCUUGUUUUAGAUUUGUUUUGUACUUUGAAAUAUGGCCACCUUACCAUUCUCAGCUUAAAGUUUUGAUCAGUUUCCCUGUUACUUUAAAGCAGUUGUUCAUACUUUUUUUUAGGUAAAUUUGAAUAAGUUUUGAGAAGCUUAAUGAUACAAUGGUAAAAAGUAAAAUCACAAAAUUACUGAACUCAGAGGAAAAUUUAAUCGAUUAUGAAUGGCUGCCAAAAAGCUUAAACAAUGAGAAAAUGUACUCCCAGGAGUGGAAUAUCCAUAACGUUUGCAUUAUAUUGCAUAAGGACUAUUCUAUUGAUAAAGGUCCAGAUUAAUAAAGUUAAUGGACAUCUAACCUCUAUUAAUUUGAACCCCUGCUGAGAUAUUGCAUAUUCCAAACACUUUAUUGUAUUUUUCAAGUUAAAAUCCUACAUCAAAAUUGUGUUUUAUUAAUAAAUCAGAAAAGUCAAGUACUUUUGUAUUUUCUAAGUUUCCUCAAUUAUCAGGAUCAUACAAGUGUCUAACUUGAAUGUAAAGAAUCAGAUGAUUGGUAUUGUUUCUUUUGACUACCUGUAAACCAUCUCAAUGAUCUGAACAUUCAUUUAUCAACACAGGGGUGUCUGUUUCUACUGAACUCACACAUGGUCUUCUAAAAUAGAACUAUGGCAGUGACUCAGCAUAACUCGUUGCUUUUCAAUCAAUGAAUAUUUGUACAAUUGCAAUUUAUUGUUCUUUAAAUCACUUUUAUAAUGGUAUAGCAUGGUCGUCAUUAUAGAAAUGGACAUGUGAUAUGUUUGCCAAUGAGACAAUUAUCAGCAGAGACCAAAUGACAAGGAUGUAAACAACUAAAGGUCAUGGUAUGACCUUCAACAAUGAGCAAACCCAAACUGUAUAGUUAGCUAUAAAAGUUCAGCUCAUGACAAAAUUGGAAACAAUUUAUAUCUGAAAACCAAGUGCCUGAUUUAUGCAAAAAAUUAAUAGGACAGAAAGCAACCAAGGAUAACCACUGAAUUACCGGUUCCUGACUCGGGACAGGUACAUACAGAAUGUGAUUCAGGACAGGUACAUACAGAAUGUGACUGGGUAAAGCAUGUUUGUUGGUGCUUAAACUUCACUCUUUUUUUUCUCAUAUUGAUUUUCACUUUCAGAAUAAAAUUGAAGUAGUAAAAAAUGGGGGUAAAUUCUUCUUCACAAUUUAUUGUACGUAUUUUGUCCUAAAAAGGUUAUGCAUGUGACCCCUUAAUUCCACAAAAUUUCAAUUUGAAAAUCAAUUUGAAAAUAGUUCCACUAUUUUAUCUGUGCACUGAUUCCUUAUAAGAAAUUGCUCUGUAUAUUUUUAAAACAAAAGUACAUUCUUUAGUCGACCAGAUACAUUUCUUUUGCCAAUUAAUGUUUGUAAAAAUAGGCUUUCAGUUUCAAGAUGCAUUAUGUAUAUCAUCAGGAUAUUAAUAAUUACAUUGCUGCUUGUGUAAGGGAGAUAACACAGCUACAUAAGCUGAAACACAAUUUAUGGUCUAAAUAAAUCUUUUAGUAGCAUCUUUACAAAAAUGUUGUUAUGAUUAAACUGAUUGUUGUAUAUUAUCCUCUUUGGGUUUAUCUUGUGUUGCUAGGUUGCUGUCCAAGUUAUCUAUUUCCUGCAUCUCCUUUAUUCUUAUUUUAAAUUGAGAGUAUCACUAAUCCUGAUUGGAUAAUACUUAGAUUUUUUUGUCGACUUCAUAGUUAAACCUUUAAAAGAGUAGAUUUUAGAGUGCUACUAAUGUUGCCUAUGGGGCAGAUAAUUAAAUUAUAUAUUUUGCCUUCUUCUAGGCAAAGAAAAGAAGAUAAAGGAGUAGGGGCACAUAAUGUUUAGAAAUGCAUCGGGUCAAGAAAUAUAUUAAAUGAAAAACAUAAAGAUUUUUAUCUGAUGAUGUCACAAUUACAUCAUAAUAUGUACUGUUUUCACAAAAACGAUGAAAAAAUACAGAAUUUAUGCAGUUUUCUAUCUUUAUUUCCUUUGUGGAAACAUCCUGCGCAGCCAAGAAGCAACAAAAUAAUUUAACAGAAGCUUUAUUAUAACUAUUGGCAUAAUCUCACCAAAUAUAAAGUUGUUUCUUGGGUGUGCACAUACUUUUUCAAUCUAAAAUAUACUUAAAAUUUGGUGAAAAAAACAAGGAAAAUCACAAAAUUUAACAUAAUAUGCAAAUUAAGUCAUGAUUUGUUGCCAUGGUUACUUGUUCGGUAUCAAAUUUGUUUUGUUUUUCUUAGUACCUUAUACAAUGGUCAAGUUUUCAGUUAUUUAAGAAUAUGUAUGAUAACUUUUAAAUUUGCAGUAAUUUUUGGGCCAAAUAAGGGCCUUAUUGCCCCUACUCCUUUAUUAUAAGUCAUUGAGUAAAAAGUGCUGAUGAAAAUGGGAUUUUAUUGUUUUAGUUUAAUUUAAUACAUGCAGUACAAUUUGAUGCGUUAGUAUAUAAAUUGUGUUUAUUUGAAGUAGUGAGUUUAAUUAAAGGUUUCCCUCAUGUUAGAUGUGGAAUUGAAGAUUAUCAGAAUUUGACUAUAGGACUACCGCAGUUACUAUGGUUACCAAUUGUCCAGUAGCCAGCACUUUGUGAUUGUUGAUUGUUGGUAAAUUCAAAAUUUUGUGGGUUUGGGAUGAUAAAAAUAUAUGGAGAACCCCUUUUUCAAUUGAUUGAAAUUUUAUGGAAUGUUUCUGAGCACUAGUGAGACAGUUCAAGUUUAAUUGUGUUCUAUUCACUUUUAUCUUUCCAGAGUUGUUGUACUAUAUUGUUUGUUAAUUCAAAACUAUGUUGUUUUUCAGAUAUUAAAUGAGGAGCAAUUUAAAUCAAUUAUACAUUAUGUUCUUAAAUAUGAUGGAAAUGUUUGUGAUGUUUUGGACCUUUAAGUUUACUUUGAACAAGAUCACCAACAUUUUUGACCUGAUUUUUUUGGUGUAUUAACAUCAGUUUUCACUGGUGUAUAUGAAUCCUGACUAAGAGACCCUGUGAAAAUGUUUCUUUGUUAGCUGAAUGAGUUGCAUUUUGUGUAAUAAAUAUAUAACUGAGAUUUAUGAUUACAAAAUAAUAUUUAAUUAACAAAUUCCCAUGUUAUAUCUAUCUCAAUCCCACAAUGUUUUAAGUGUCUUGCUAAAAUGAAUACUAAUGACCAACUUUCAAAAAUUCGAUCAUUUGUAACAGCUUAUUACUAUUUUUCAUCAGUGAAAUAUUUGUCUUACCUUUCACACUUGUUUACAUUGCUUUUGUGAAGUAAAAGUUGGCAGAGUAAGACAGCACUAUUUUACACCUACUACCAACAUGAUGUAAACAUUGUACCUGCUGAUCAAGAUAAGGAUUGUCAGCUAGCGUUACAUAACUGCUUCAUCUUCUUAAAUAUGAUGGUAAUGUCUAGAGCUACAUGUAAGUUUCUUUCUCUAUCAAAUAUUCUUAACUUAUUGAAUAUAAUAUAUUAAAGUAUUUUUAUGGUAGUUUUGUAAUGUUAAACUGGAAGAAUGAUAGAUCCAUUCUUUAAAAAAAAUAUCUUUUUAAUGAGAACUUUGAACUAAUCAAGCUAGGUAAUUAGGUAAAUAUUUUGCUAAUUGUACAUGAUAAGGAGCAUGUUUUGAGAAAUUAGAUGAUGUUUGAAUGUGUAUCAGAAAAACAGAAAUUAGGUAUUGCAAGAAUUUAUCUAAAAAAUCUAUUUCUGUUUAGAAAUUCAAAAUAACAAAGCAUGGAGAAUUGAAAAUAAAGAGAUUCUUUGUUCAUAAAACUUGUCAUUCCUCACAGGGAAAAGAAACAAUAUUUUACCUGCUUUAUGGCAUACCAGAAAUUGUUUUUGCUUUCAGACACAUUAAUGGCAAUUUUUAACUACUAAAUAAUAAAAUAUAAUUCUAUGGACAAUAGAAAUAUUUUUCCAAUUUUGAUAGGACUUAAUCUAAUUUGAUUUCAAUAGUUAUUGUCAUAAUUACACAUUUUAUAAAUUAUUGCAACUUUCUGAAUAACAAGACAUAGCAGGAAGUAUUUCAAUAAUUGGUUAUAUACUUUCCUUGUAGUGGUAGAUAAUUGUUUAUUUUAUUAUCCUGAUAUUUAUUUUCUAUAAUUUGUCCUUUUUCCCAGAACCUACCACAAGCUAGCAGAAUAUUUAGGUUAGCAGACCAAAAAUGGUUACAGUAAGAAAAAGGGAAUGAAUUUUUAAAAUCAAUUAAAAAUUGGAUACAAUUUGACUUAAUGUAAUGUGAUAAGAAUAUGAGUUGCAAUCUGAACCUUCCAGUGGGAACAUCAUUGUUGAACUUUCUCCUUAUUGUUUAAAGAAGUAUAUAUUUACUGUUGUUUAUGAAUUACCAUAGUUACUGUUGAAGAGGAUGAGUGUAGAAGCAUUGGUAGUUACCUUAUCACGUUUUUGCCAGAUGUAAACAGAUCUUACAUUUUAUACAAUAACCACAUAGAUGCUUCAUUUUUUUGUGUUAUAGAAUUUUUUCUUGAGGUUGUCAGUUCAUUUUGAAUUUUAACAAGAGCCCUUAAGUACGUACCAUACCCAUUUUGAAUGGCACUUUAUAUGGAUACAGGAGUAGGUGCAAUAAGGAGCUGUUUGACCUCCAAUUUUAAGUCCAAUAGAUAACGAUGAAAUAUGUUCCAAGUGGGAGAACGUGAAAGUAAACUGUUGUAAACCUUGACCCAUACUGAAUUCUAAGUCAUGAAAAAGAAUUUGACCUUUAUGUACAUAAAGGUUCAUAGUAUUCUCUCACAGCAAGAGCCCUGAUUUUUUGUCAACAAUAUAAGUUUUCUAGGUAGAAUCCCAAACAAUCAGCUUAUCAAAUUUUUGUAACAGUUUUGUUUCUUUCAUUUCCAAAAUUAAUGUUCAUGUCUUUUGGGUCUUUUUUUUUCAAUUUAAUCUUUUAUUGAUUUUUGUGUUUAUAAAUUAUUUUAGUUCUGUCUGUUACAAGCAUCAGAAUUCAAUGAUUAAAAUGUAUAGCUUAUAAGGAAGUGGUUUACUAAUAUCUUUGACUAAAUGAUGGCAAUGUUUCCAUGGAAAUUUAUGUUUUACAUAUAGUGCUAAUUGUUAGCUUUCCAUUCAAGUGUCUUAGUACUUUGUUUUGUCAAAUUCUUCACAGGUGUACUUGAAGGUAAAUGUUUUCUCUUUUUCUCUUUGUUUAUAUGAAAAAUAUAUGGGUUUUUUUUGUUGUUAUUUUGUUGAUUAUAAUACGAAAAUAUUGUAAUGUAUUAAAGCUGAAUAAGUUUUGACUGAAUCCUAUCUUAAUUCAGUGUUUUAUUAUUUUUAUUUUUUAUUUUAACAAACAGAAUAUAAAUACAUUUUGCUUGAAAUUGUCUUUUUUAUUUUUAUUAAAGAUAUAUUCAUAUUUCUGUUAUAUGCAUGAUCAUGAUGAUAUUUUAAAAAUACAAAUACUGAAUUGACCCUGCUCUUACUGUUUUCCUGGAUGGACUGAAGCUUACUGUCAUUUGUAUUACUGUGAGAAUGGUAUUUUAGAGGGAGUCCUUUUAUUUAGAUUUACCUUUAUCAGGUAUAUACACAUGGACAACAUAUUGAAAAGGAAAAAUAAAAAAACAAUAAGGCAUACAAAAAUUGAAAUGAGCCUUAGCCUCCAGAUUGUUCAAUAAUUUAAAAACAAAGUCUUUAGAAUAAAAAAAAAAAAGCCAUUUAUAAUUUGAGAAAUUGGAACCAAAGUUUGUGGUAUAAAGUACAACAUUUAUGAACUGCAUUAAGCUAUAUGUAAUAAUCACCAACAUCGUAAAUGAAUAAAUAUGAAGGAUGAUACUGAAUCCUUUAGGGCCAUCAGUAGUGGUAUCCACUUAGUGGUUUCAUGAUAGUGUGUGUAGAAAUUCAAGUGUCAGAUAAAGUUUUACUCUUAACUUCAUGGAUGGAAAAUUCAUGAACAAAAGUAAUGGAAGAUUGUGAAUUAUCAACUUUGGAUAACUGGUAUUAAGACAUUUUGAUGUUAAAAACAAUAAGUAUUUGUACACUCAGUAGAUAAUAAACUAAAUGGUCUUGUAAGAAUAGCAGCAAAGUGGAAAUUAGAUAUAAGAUUGAAUUGUUACAAGGACAUUCUAUAUAAUAAAAAAUCAAUUGGAAAUAUGAGAACCUGCUAAUUUGUCUACUGAUAAACAAAUAAGAUUCUAAACUAAUGAUCAAUGAAACUGUGAAUACUAUAUCUUAUAUAUAUAUUUCUGAAUGAAAGGAGAUGUUAUUAAAAAGAUGAAACAUUUCAAUGAUAAAAAUGUCUUAUUGUAUAUUUGUAUUUGUUAUAUUUACAUUUAAAUAUGGGGGAGGUGAUUGAUAGUUAGGGACAAAAAGUAAAAUCACAAAAAUACUGAACUCCGAGGAAAAUUCAAGACGGAAGUCCCUAAAAAAUGAAAGAAGUAUAUAUACAGUAUGGGCUUUGCUCAUUGUUGAAGACCGCACAGUGACCUAUAGCUGUUUAUUUCUGUGUCAUUUGGUCUCUUGUGGAGAGUUGUCUCAUUGGCAAUCAUGCCACAUCUUUUUUAUAAGCAUUGUUUAAGUGUUUAUGACUCCAUUUAAUAAGAUAUCAGUGCCUUGCUUUUAAGACAUUGACAUUGUAAUUUGUUUUAAUCUACCAGAAUUUAAUACAUUGAUUUUCAGAAAACCACUGCUUAUGUGUUACGAAUGCAUGAAUUACCAGAUGUGUCUUUACCUGUGAACCUUUGAUUUAUAUUUCAAACAGAGUUACAUAUCAAACACUCAUAUAUGUAACUCCAAGGUAACAGGUCUGUUAGAAAAAUGAUCUACAGUGUUAACUUUUCAUUUCUGUAUUUAAUAUAAUCCUCUUUUUAUAGGCACAGAUACAGAUAAAGCUGAGGGGACAGAGAAACUUAACCAAGGGGAGAGUGUUAAUUCAGUGGUAACAACAGAAUUGUCACAGUGUACAACCAUUACUACACAAGCUGAAAUCACACCUGUUAGUUCAAGUGCUGACACACCAGGUAUGACAUAUCAUUACUACACAAGUUUAAAUCAUAUGUGUUAAUUCUGGUGAUGACACAUUAGGAAUACAUAACAACUUAAGCUGAAAUCCCCUGUUGGUUCAAGUUCUGACACACCAAUUAUGACAUGUCAGAACUAAACAAGAUGAAUUCACACCUGUUAGUUCAAGUGCUGACACACCAGGUAUGACAUAUAGGGGGAAGUCACAUCUGUUAGUGCAAUUACAAGUGCUGAUAGUAAUUAAACUGCCUUCAACAAUGAGCAAACCCAUACUGUGUAGUCAGCUGUAACAUCUGGCAGCAUGAAGCAUAACAAAAUGUAAAAUAAUAUGAACAAGAAAACCAAAGGCCUAAUUUAAAACUACACAUUUUAUGAUACACAACGAAGAUGCAAUAACAUGAACAAAAAAUUAUGAAUAACAGACAGACUUACCUAGUUUAAUAUCUCUGCACUUUUUAAAAAAACUUAGGGGAUAACAAGUUGUUAACAAGAAACAAAACAAGGUUCUUAAAACAGAUAAACAAUGUCUGCUUCACUCCAGCAGUGAGCUUUUUUCUGAUAAUGAGAAAACAAGGACAGGUUCAGACAGAAAGCUAUGGCCAGCAGGAAAAACUGUUCACCUAAAUAACUGAAUUACUUCAUCAGAUGACAAUAUGAAUAAUAAAAGUCCUGGCUAAAGAUAGACAUACUAAUUCAAUUCAGUCACAGACCACUUUUGCAAGUGAGUUCUAAUACAAAUAUAAGAUCAAAGAAAAGAUUAUAUUCCACUUUUGUUUUAGCUCUAACCACUGCACAGGCAAGACCUAUGGUAUUUCCUAAACAUCCCACUUUUGUUUUAGCUCUAACUACUGCACAGGCAAGACCUAUGGUAUUUCCUAAACAUCCCAAUGCUGAUAAACCUGAACCUGCUCCAAAGGAGGUUACCAUGGAAACAGCCAUUCCAACAAAAGAAGAAACUUCUACAACUAUAGAAGAUACAUCUGUAUCAGAUAAACCUUCAGCUGUAGAAGUUACAAAAAGUAGGCAUUUUAAUUGUAUUGUAUUUAUUUGGGGUAGCUUUUGUCUUUAUUUUACUCACACCCAUACACAUAGAUUAGACUGAAUAUAUAGGUACACAACAUCAAAACAAAACAAAUAACAGAGAAGAAUCAUCUAUGUUACAUCAGAUACAAAACUAGAACCAUCUAAAAAAUAACAGAUACCAAACAAAAACUACCUAUGGUAUUACAGAUACCAAACUAGAACCAUCUAUGAUACAACAGAUACAAAACUAGAACCAUCUAUAAAAUAACAGAUACCAAACAAAAACCACCUAUGAUAUUACAGAUACCAAACUAGAACCAACCAUCUAUAAAAUAACAGAUACCAAACAAAAACUACCUAUGGUAUUACAUAUACCAAAAUAGAACCAACCAUCUAUAAAAUAACAGAUACCAAACAAAAACUAGCUAUGGUAUUACAGAUACCAAAAUAGAACCAACCAUCUAUAAAAUAAGAUACCAAACAAAAACUACCUAUGGUAUUACAGAUACCAAACUAGAACCAUCUAUGAUACAACAGAUACAAAACUAGAACCAUCUAUACAGUAACAGAUACCAAACAAAAACCACCUAUGGUAUUACAGAUACCAAACUAGAACCAUCUAUAAAAUAACAGAUACCAAACAAAAACCACCUAUGGUAUUACAGAUACCAAACUAGAACCAUCUAUGAUACAUCAGAAACCAAACUAGAACCAUCUAUAAAAUAAGAUACCAAACAAAAACUACCUAUGGUAUUACAGGUACCAAAAUAGAACCAACCAUCUAUAAAAUAACAGAUACCAAACAAAAACUACCUAUGGCAUUACAGAUACCAAAAUAAAACCAACCAUCUAUAAAAUAACAGAAACAAAACAAAAACUACCUAUGGUAUUACAAAUACCAAGCUAGAACCAUCUAUGAUUCAACAGAUAUAAAACUAGAACCAUCUAUAAAAUAAGAUACCAGACAAAAACCACCUAUGGUAUUACAGAUACCAAAAUAGAACCAACCAUCUAUAAAAUAACAGAUACCAAACAAAUACCACCUAUGGUACUACAUAUAUCAAACUAGAACCAUCUAUACAGUAACAGAUACCAAACAAAAACCACCUAUGGUAUGACAGAUACCAAAAUAGAACCAUCUAUAAAAUAAAAGAUACCAAACAAAAACCAUCUAUGAAAUAACAGAUACCAAACAAAAACCAUCUAUAAAAUAACAGAUACCAAACAAAAACCAUCUAUGAUACAACAGAUACCAAAAUAGAACCAUCUAUAAUAUAAUAGAUACCAAACCAAAAACUUCUAUGAUACAUGAUAGACCAAACUAGAACCAUCUAUGAUACAGUCAAUACCAAUCAAAAACCAUUUAUGUACUGGUAUAUAAUUUAUCUUAAAUGAUACAUGUUGGGGCUAAGCAACAGAUAUAUUAUAUGUUUUGGUAAGUUGAUAGAUAAUGUCUAUACAUGAUAAGACCUAUAAGCUGAUGUAUAAACACCAAAUUUUCUUUCUUUAAGAAAAUUGUAUAUUUUUCAGAUAAUGAACAACAACAAGUAGAUAAUCAAGAACAAAGGAAUGGAAAGCAGGAAGAGGAGGAAGAAAAAGAGCCAGAAAUAAUAUAUCCUGAGGGAUACGCUCCUGUCCCUGCUAGUGAACCGGACUUGUCAUUAAUACCUAAAAAAAGUGCUUUGAAAGGGGCAGGUGGAGCAGGAGGAGGGGAUAUUAAGCCUGUCACGCCUGUGGCUAGAGAUAAAAAUGAUAAUCAUUCUCAUGUGAACUUUUCUCAUGUAGAUGUUAUAACUGCACCUCAGAUAUCAAAUGUGAUAAAACAGCCCUCACCAAAGCCUUCACCAAAAUCUACACCCUUAUCUAGUGCUAUGGCGCGGCCAAAACUUAGAGGUGGUUUAGCGUAA
Molecule: long non-coding RNA, 41116 nt
Filed under: Mytilus galloprovincialis (Mediterranean mussel)
Lineage: Eukaryota; Metazoa; Mollusca; Bivalvia; Mytilida; Mytilidae
Source: RNAcentral